Talpa occidentalis (Iberian mole) is the source of this 1242-nucleotide long non-coding RNA. RefSeq lists it as uncharacterized. The record is from RefSeq and is a predicted model, not a curated record. Lineage: Eukaryota; Metazoa; Chordata; Mammalia; Eulipotyphla; Talpidae. The transcript is spliced from 3 exons.
UCGCACUUGAGAAAUUGUUCUUGUCUCCUUCUGCCUGUUUUCUGCCCGCAUUUGGUCAUGAGAACUGAUCCUGCUUCCCCCUGUGUGUAAUGAGCACAAUGGUGGGUGUGUGGGAAAAGGGUCUGGGCCCGGUGGAGCCUUCCUGGGCCAGCAGAUUGUGGGCUGCAGGAGGAAUACGGAAAUGAGCACAGUUCUGGGGGAAAUCGCCAAGUGUCGUUUCAGGAUUGUGUGCUCUGCUCAGGCUUCAUUUGCACCAGAUACUUGUGGCAUAUUUUUAACAAGUAUUUCAUGGGAAAGAUAGAAAAUGCUGUUUUUUCAGUGAAUGGAGUUCUAUGUAGGAUGGAAAUAUAAACAAUCUUCAAUGCUAGCUCUAGUGGAGCCAUUCAUUACUUAGAACGAUUACAAUGUACUGUAUGCUAAAAAAGAUACUGUGAUUUACAUUGUGACAUCUUCAGUAAUUAUGACAUUUGAUAGAAUUUGUUUCCCUUGGUCAUACCUGUAGAUGUCAUUUAAAAGUGUAUGUUUUCCAAUUAAAAGACGAAUGGUAGUUACUUUUUAAAAAUACAUGGGAAUGACUGUGUGAUAACAAAGAGUAUUCACUUUUUUUUCUUUUAAAAGGAACUUAUUUUUCAAUUUUGAGUUAAGGAACCGGAAGGUGUCAGAUCACCAUUUCAGAUGCAACUGUGCUCUCGAACAGGUUUGUCUUUCCUGCCAACCAAAUCCAACCUUUAAAGCGCUGAAUGGAGGUGCAGUCAAGAAGGCAGACUGUGGUGGAAAGGGAAGUCAAAGUGUUUAAAACACUUGUAACAGGAAAAGGAUGUGUGCACCGGAAGAUACCUAGAUUCACUAUAGUAAACAUCAUCUGUGAAUAGCCCACAGGAAGAGAAGAUUUCAAGCUUUUUCAGCUACAUUUCAGACUGCUGUUUAAAUGCAACGAUAUUUGAUAAGUCUUCGAUCUUUGUGCAGUUUAGUGGUUAUUAUUCCAGAGCCAAGCUCUUCACAUUUCCUCUUCCCCUUUAUCUAGGCUGAAGCUUGUCUUGUACUCAUGUUCUUGGGCAAAUAGGUAGAGGAAAAAAAAUACAUAAUUGUUGACCAGUGUAUUGAAGUGAUGAGUAGAAAUUAUAUCAGUUGAUUACCAUAUUCCCAGAGGCAAAUACUCUUACCUACUGAUGAUGUUGCACACAAGUUUGGCCUUACACAUUUAUCUGACUGUUCCUUAAUUUGAAAAUGAGGGGACUGGAA